CCUACGGGUGGCAGCAGUGGGGAAUAUUGGACAAUGGGCGAAAGCCUGAUCCAGCCAAGUCGCGUGAAGGAUGACGGCCCUCCGUGUUGUAAACUCCUUUUGUCAGGAAGCAAUUGGGUCCACGCGUGGGCUUAGCGAGCGUACCUUAAGACAAAGCAUCGGCUAACUCAGUUCCAGAAGCCGCGUUAAUCCGGUGGAUGAGGGGGUGAUCCGGCUUUGUGGGGGUUAAGGGGUGCGUAGGCGGAAUAUCAAGUCAGCGGUAAAAAUUCGGGGAUAAACCCCGUCGUGCCGUUGAAACUGAUGUGCUUGAGUGGGGGAGAGGUAUGCGGAAUGCGUGGUGUAGCGGUGAAAUGCAUAGAUAUCACGCAGAACUCCGAUGGCGAAGGCAGCAUACUGGCGCCCAACUGACGCUGAAGCACGAAAGCGUGGGUAGCGAACAGGAUUAGAUACCCCUGUAGUC
RNAcentral lists this ribosomal RNA (460 nucleotides) under uncultured bacterium. RNAcentral describes it as "partial 16S ribosomal RNA". It matches the Rfam family "Bacterial small subunit ribosomal RNA", at positions 338 to 795 of the family's 1533-position model. The record is from RNAcentral.